AUUGAACGCUGGCGGCAUGCCUUACACAUGCAAGUCGAACGGCAGCACGGGAGCAAUCCUGGUGGCGAGUGGCGAACGGGUGAGUAAUGUAUCGGAACGUGCCCAGUCGUGGGGGAUAACGCAGCGAAAGCUGUGCUAAUACCGCAUACGAUCUAUGGAUGAAAGCGGGGGACCGUAAGGCCUCGCGCGAUUGGAGCGGCCGAUAUCAGAUUAGGUAGUUGGUGGGGUAAAGGCCCACCAAGCCGACGAUCUGUAGCUGGGCUGAGAGGACGACCAGCCGCACUGGAACUGAGACACGGUCCAGACUCCGACGGGAUGCAGCAGUGGGGAAUUUUGGACAAUGGGCGCAAGCCUGAUUCAGCAAUGCCGCGUGCAGGAUGAAGGCCUUCGGGUUGUAAACUGCUUUUGUACGGAACGAAACGCUCCUUUCUAAUACAAGGGGGUAAUGACGGUACCGUAAGAAUAAGCACCGGCUAACUACGUGCCAGCAGCCGCAGUAA
Molecule: ribosomal RNA, 500 nt
Filed under: uncultured bacterium
Lineage: Bacteria
Description: partial 16S ribosomal RNA
Rfam family: Bacterial small subunit ribosomal RNA
Source: RNAcentral